This 465-nucleotide ribosomal RNA is filed under the name Vreelandella stevensii. RNAcentral describes it as "partial 16S ribosomal RNA". It matches the Rfam family "Bacterial small subunit ribosomal RNA", at positions 338 to 795 of the family's 1533-position model. Lineage: Bacteria; Pseudomonadati; Pseudomonadota; Gammaproteobacteria; Oceanospirillales; Halomonadaceae. The record is from RNAcentral.
CCUACGGGGGGCUGCAGUGGGGAAUAUUGGACAAUGGGGGGAACCCUGAUCCAGCCAGGCCGCGUGGGUGAAGAAGGCCCUCGGGUUGUAAAGCACUUUCAGGGAGGAAGAACGCCUGGUGGUUAAUACCCAUCAGGAAAGACAUCACUCACAGAAGAAGCACCGGCUAACUCCGUGCCAGCAGCCGCGGUAAUACGGAGGGUGCGAGCGUUAAUCGGAAUUACUGGGCGUAAAGCGCGCGUAGGUGGCUUGAUAAGCCGGUUGUGAAAGCCCCGGGCUCAACCUGGGAACGGCAUCCGGAACUGUCAAGCUAGAGUGCAGGAGAGGAAGGUAGAAUUCCCGGUGUAGCGGUGAAAUGCGUAGAGAUCGGGAGGAAUACCAGUGGCGAAGGCGGCCUUCUGGACUGACACUGACACUGAGGUGCGAAAGCGUGGGUAGCAAACAGGAUUAGAUACCCCGGUAGUC